CUCAUGUGCCCAGUAAAGCUGUGAGAAGCUCUGUGGACAUGGCGGCUGGAGUUUGUGUAGUGCAGUGUGGCUCAGUGAGUCCGUUCAGAGAGGAUUUCAGCAGCUCGCCCAUCAGGGUUGAGGAGCAGGCUAUCCUUAUUUUAUAGAAGAGGGAGUCUCAGCCUGAGCCCACUGUGCACUGCUUGUCAAGAUGAGGACACGGGACAAGGCACUUUACUCUGUAACUAAGUUCCCAGGUGGAAGACACAGUGAUUGUGGUACUUGCAUGGAAUCUUUCAACCGAGGAGAACCAGGGCAGCCUUGCUGGGAGGCCUUCCUGCCUGACCUUCACCUGGUGGGGUGAGAUCUGGCCUUUUUAGUCAAAGGAAAAUUCCCAUCGCCUGAGGGGGUCAAGAGGCCUGCAAGUGGCCUCUGGCUUGGACAAGGAACUGCUCAGCAGGCCAAGGCCUAGGCUUAUCUCAGAGCCAUGGUUUGUCGGAAAGGGGUCUUCCCAAUGGUGCUGGGCAGCUCAGGGGACCCAGCUCCAUCCAGGCCCCCACUUCCCUCCUCUUAGGUGGUGGU
RNAcentral lists this long non-coding RNA (561 nucleotides) under Mus spicilegus (steppe mouse). Its description in RNAcentral is "lncRNA (ENSMSIG00000029925.1)". Lineage: Eukaryota; Metazoa; Chordata; Mammalia; Rodentia; Muridae. The record is from RNAcentral.